GAAUCUCCCUAACCUCCUGAAUUCACUAGGCACUUUGCUAUGGACUCACCCCUGGCAUUGUUCAGCCAUGCUUUUUUCUUGGGAUGGUAGAUGUUGUAUACCUACCCCUCCAGAGAGUAGUGGGAAGAAAUGGGAGUUGCUGGAUCCUAAGGAAAAUCUGUUGGUCUUUGUUUGCCUCAACUCCUCCAGUGGGGAUGCUUUUUCCAUGCCCUCUACCCACAUAAGUAAACAUUUCCCAGGCACUCAGAUUUGUAUUCCUUGGUGUGCAGGUCCUACAGGUCAUCAGACGGCCGGACAACCCCCCAGCUGGGCAGUGCCAACCCCUCCACCCCCCAGCCUGCCUCCCCUGAUGUCAGCAGUAGCCACUCUUUGUCAGAAUACUCCCAUGGUCAGUCCCCUAGGAGCCCCAUUAGCCCGGAACUGCACUCAGCACCCCUCACCCCUGUGGCUCGGGACACUCCGCGACACUUAGCCAGUGAGGAUACCCGUUGUUCCACGCCAGAGCUGGGGCUGGAUGAACAGGUAAGGGACGCAGCCUUUGGGUGGGGUUGGCAUGGUUGGGGGAUGGAACCAGGAAGGGACAGCAUCUGCUGAAGGGGGACCUAGCCAUCCCCUCCCCCUUUUGAAGGGACAAAGGGCUGCACUUACAUUGAUCUCCUCAACGUUCAGUGGAACUGUAUUGAUCAUUGCUAAAUGAUCAAUACAGUUGUCUGGGUACACCCUAGAAGGAGUGUUCCCAGACUGUCCCAGGAACACUAGAUAGACUGGUCCUAGGCUCCAGGCCACAAGGUUUGUGGCAGGGCCUUGGAGCAGGAAGCAGGCUGGCUGGGACUGGGUCCUCAAAGAGCAACUUGUCUGCCUACAGUCUGUCCAGCCCUGGGAGCGGCGGACCUUCCCCCUGGCGCACAGUCCCCAGGCGGAGUGUGAGGACCAGCUGGAUGCACAGGAGCGAGCAGCCCGCUGCACUCGACGCACCUCAGGCAGCAAGACUGGCCGGGAGACAGAGGCAGCGCCCACCUCGCCUCCCACUGUCCCCCUCAAGAGUCGGCAUCUGGUGGCAGCAGCCACAGCUCAGCGCCCGACUCACAGAUGAGCGGGAGACAGGCAUCUAAACAGACUCACUAACUAUUGGCAUUAAAGCUUCAGAAAUCUCUGCGUUUGAUAUUCAAACAUCAUAUGCCGGAAAUUUUCACAGUUUUUAGUGAACUUAAGGAAUUUAGAUCCUACUUUGGUAUUUUUUUUUUUCUUGUUUUAAUUUUUGUUUUGUUUUUGUUUCCAUGUUUUCUUGUCACACACCUGAGCACUUCCUCCUGUUGGCAAACAGAAGUUCAGGAUGAGACCCUGCUGGCCUGGUCCUGGCACAUCCUCUGCACUGUUGAAUCACUGGACUUACGGAUCUUAGAUGACCACCCCCUCCCUCACACCUGUGGGCAGGGCAGAACAGCCUGGCGGUCAGAGGGCUACAGUUGAGCCUGGCCUUCUUGAGCUAGGGUGGAAUGGGGCA
This 1504-nucleotide small RNA is filed under the name Pongo abelii (Sumatran orangutan). Its description in RNAcentral is "retained intron". Lineage: Eukaryota; Metazoa; Chordata; Mammalia; Primates; Hominidae. The record is from RNAcentral.